This 394-nucleotide ribosomal RNA is filed under the name uncultured bacterium. RNAcentral describes it as "partial 16S ribosomal RNA". It matches the Rfam family "Bacterial small subunit ribosomal RNA", at positions 338 to 729 of the family's 1533-position model. The record is from RNAcentral.
CCUACGGGUGGCUGCAGUGAGGAAUAUUGGUCAAUGGACGCAAGUCUGAACCAGCCAUGCCGCGUGCAGGAAGACGGCUCUAUGAGUUGUAAACUGCUUUUGUACGAGGGUAAACGCAGAUACGCGUACCCUUCUGAAAGUACCCUACGAACAAGGAUCGGCUAACGCCGUGCCAGCAGCCGCGGUAAUACGGAGGAUUCAAGCGUUAUCCGGAUUUAUUGGGUUUAAAGGGUGCGUAGGCGGUCGGUUAAGUUAGAGGUGAAAUCCCGGGGCUCAACUUCGGAAUUGCCUCUGAUACUGUUAGGCUAGAGGGUAGUUGCGGUAGGCGGAAUGUGUGGUGUAGCGGUGAAAUGCUUAGAGAUCAUGCAGAACACCGAUUGCGAAGGCAGCUUAC